Molecule: ribosomal RNA, 253 nt
Filed under: uncultured bacterium
Lineage: Bacteria
Description: partial 16S ribosomal RNA
Rfam family: Bacterial small subunit ribosomal RNA
Source: RNAcentral
CACGUAGGGCGCAAGCGUUGUCCGGAAUUAUUGGGCGUAAAGAGCUCGUAGGCGGUCUGUUGCGUCUGCUGUGAAAACCCGGGGCUUAACCCCUGGCUUGCAGUGGAUACGGACAGACUAGAGGUAGGUAGGGGAGAAUGGAAUUCCCGGUGUAGCGGUGAAAUGCGCAGAUAUCGGGAGGAACACCGGUGGCGAAGGCGGUUCUCUGGGCCUUACCUGACGCUGAGGAGCGAAAGCGUGGGGAGCAAACGGG